Molecule: transfer RNA, 69 nt
Filed under: Hemisus marmoratus (mottled shovel-nosed frog)
Lineage: Eukaryota; Metazoa; Chordata; Amphibia; Anura; Hemisotidae
Description: tRNA-Thr
Rfam family: tRNA
About the family: Transfer RNA (tRNA) molecules are approximately 80 nucleotides in length. Their secondary structure includes four short double-helical elements and three loops (D, anti-codon, and T loops).
Source: RNAcentral
ACCCCUGUAGCUUAAACAAAGCAUCGGUCUUGUAAGCCGAAGACUGUAAAUUAAACCCUACCAGAGGUU